UUGUGAGUAACGUCUUUUUUCUCUCUUGAUUCAUUAUCAAUCGCCACGUCAUACUUUUGUCUACAGCCUGAGCCGUACAGUUUCGAGUACGAGUGAAAGACGCAGCAACAGGGACAGAGUUCUCCCGGAAGGAAGAAUCGGAUGGUACGAAGGUGAUGGGCGAGUACAAAGUUUUGCUGCCGGACAGCCGGACUCAGAUCGUCACGUACAUGGCGGACGAGAACGGCUACAUGGCUGACGUCAAAUACGAAGGGGAGGCCAUUCCCGGACCACCCGGUCCUGCGGGAGGGGGUGGUGGAGGUCCCCCUGGAGGUGGUGGAGCCCCACCCGGAGCUGGAGCAUACCCCGCGGGCGGAGGCCCAGAGGCUGGAUAUCCAUCAGGAGGCCCAGGAUUCGGUCCACAAGGAACUGGCUAUCGAAGAUAGGAACAUCAUUAGGGUAAAAUUUUCGUUGCAAAUCAUUACAAUCACCAAUGGCGUUGAAAUAUCUUUCAUCUUUUGUAAAUCUUGUGAAUACCAAAGCUCGAGGACAAUGUGGUCGAAUAACAACAAUAUAAAACACUCCCAAAUAAGUAUUUUUCUCUUUAUUUUUCCCCCGAUGUAUGAUUUUAGGAGCAAAAUAAUAAUAAGUAAAUGAGUUUUUACAAUCUCACGCCUCAUUUAAAUACACCUGAAAAUUAAGACUGAACCCUCACAGGGAAAGGCAAACAAGAAAAAAGACCCUUUUUGGGUCCCCUUACUGCCGUGUUUUUCAUAAUGGCUGCCAAUAUUUAUGCUUCCCCGCAACUUGCUUACUUAUAAAAUUUUAGAUUAUUACUCCUUUAAUUAAACAUAUUUGACAAUGAUCAAGUGCAAGAAAAUAUUAAUCUAAUGAAUAUGAAUAAAUGUCAUUUAUGGUACACGAAAGCAAGCCCACGCUAUUAAGGUUUUAAUUAUAGACUUCUUACUUUGCAAAAAAGAAAAAAAAACCUGACGAAUUCACACUAAAAAUUGAAUUUUUACCGUAGUUAACAAUUACCUUUAACGGUGAGAUCAUUUUGCAAAUCAUAUCAUGUGCUACAACGAUUCACUGCUAGAGAUGUUUCAUGAGGUAUAGAGGGGGACAGAGAGAGGAAAAUUAAAAUAAUUGAAGCUUAGAUUAAAUGAAUGUUAAUAAAAAUAAAUGGAAGUAUGCAUAGGAUGGAUAGAAAUUUAUUUUCAAAAUUAAUAAAACUUACUGCAAAAGAACCUGCAAAAUAAUAUUUUGGAGUGAAAAUUUUGC
This 1260-nucleotide long non-coding RNA is filed under the name Bemisia tabaci. RNAcentral's name for it is "lncRNA ENSSWEETPG009042". The record is from RNAcentral. Lineage: Eukaryota; Metazoa; Arthropoda; Insecta; Hemiptera; Aleyrodidae.